RNAcentral lists this ribosomal RNA (404 nucleotides) under uncultured prokaryote. RNAcentral describes it as "bacterial SSU rRNA". It matches the Rfam family "Bacterial small subunit ribosomal RNA", at positions 355 to 776 of the family's 1533-position model. RNAcentral also lists the same sequence under 1 other name. The record is from RNAcentral.
UGGGGAAUAUUAGGCAAUGGGGGAAACCCUGACCUAGCAACGCCGCGUGAAGGAUGAAGGUCUUCGGAUUGUAAACUUCUUUGGCCCGGGACGAUAAUGACGGUACCGGGAGAACAAGCCACGGCUAACUACGUGCCAGCAGCCGCGGUAAUACGUAGGUGGCAAGCGUUGUCCGGAAUUACUGGGUGUAAAGGGCGAGUAGGCGGGUGCACAAGUCAGAUGUGAAAAUCCGGGGCUCAACCCCGGACCUGCAUUUGAAACUGUGCGUCUUGAGUGAUGGAGAGGCAGGCGGAAUUCCCGGUGUAGCGGUGAAAUGCAUAGAGAUCGGGAGGAACACCAGUGGCGAAGGCGGCCUGCUGGACAUUAACUGACGCUGAGGCGCGAAAGCGUGGGGAGCGAACGGG